AGAGUUUGAUCAUGGCUCAGAAUGAACGUUGGCGGCGUGGAUUAGGCAUGCAAGUCGAGCGAGAACCGUAGCAAUACGGGGACAGCGGCGCAAGGGACAGUAAUGUGUAGAUCAUCUGCCCUCAGGACCGGGAUAGCUGCGGGAAACUGCAGGUAAUACCGGAUAACAUCUCCGGAUCAAAGGUGUGAUUCCGCCUGAGGAUGAGUCUACAUCCUAUUAGCUAGUUGGUAGGGUAACGGCCUACCAAGGCAUUGAUGGGUAGCGGGUGUGAGAGCACGACCCGCGUCAUUGGGACUGAGACACUGCCCAGACACCUACGGGUGGCUGCAGUCGAGAAUCUUCGGCAAUGGGCGCAAGCCUGACCGAGCGACGCCGCGUGUGGGAUGAAGGCCUUCGGGUUGUAAACCACUGUUAGAGGGGAUGAAAUGCAGGUGGGUUCUCCCAUCUGUUUGACAUAGCCUCAGAGGAAGGACGGGCUAAGUUCGUGCCAGCCGCCGCGGUAAUAC
Molecule: ribosomal RNA, 506 nt
Filed under: uncultured bacterium
Lineage: Bacteria
Description: bacterial SSU rRNA
Rfam family: Bacterial small subunit ribosomal RNA
Source: RNAcentral